GACGAACGCUGGCGGCGUGCUUAACACAUGCAAGUCGAACGGAAAGGCCCUGCUUUUGUGGGGUGCUCGAGUGGCGAACGGGUGAGUAACACGUGAGUAACCUGCCCUUGACUUUGGGAUAACUUCAGGAAACUGGGGCUAAUACCGGAUAGGAGCUCCUGCUGCAUGGUGGGGGUUGGAAAGUUUCGGCGGUUGGGGAUGGACUCGCGGCUUAUCAGCUUGUUGGUGGGGUAGUGGCUUACCAAGGCUUUGACGGGUAGCCGGCAUGAGAGGGUGACCGGCCACAUUGGGACUGAGAUACGGCCCAGACUCCUACGGGAGGCAGCAGUGGGGAAUAUUGCACAAUGGGCGGAAGCCUGAUGCAGCAACGCCGCGUGCGGGAUGACGGCCUGCGGGUUGUAAACCGCUUUCGCCUGUGACGAAGCGUGAGUGACGGUAAUGGGUAAAGAAGCACCGGCUAACUACGUG
RNAcentral lists this ribosomal RNA (468 nucleotides) under uncultured bacterium. Its description in RNAcentral is "partial 16S ribosomal RNA". It matches the Rfam family "Bacterial small subunit ribosomal RNA", at positions 28 to 507 of the family's 1533-position model. The record is from RNAcentral.